This 465-nucleotide ribosomal RNA is filed under the name uncultured bacterium. RNAcentral describes it as "partial 16S ribosomal RNA". It matches the Rfam family "Bacterial small subunit ribosomal RNA", at positions 338 to 795 of the family's 1533-position model. The record is from RNAcentral.
CCUACGGGAGGCAGCAGUGGGGAAUAUUGCGCAAUGGGCGAAAGCCUGACGCAGCGACGCCGCGUGAGGGAUGAAGGUCUUCGGAUCGUAAACCUCUGUCAGCAGGGAAGCACGGCCACUGUGCUAAUCAGCAGUGAAUUGACGGUACCUGCAAAGGAAGCACCGGCUACCUCCGGGCCAGCAGCCGCGGUAAUACGGAGGGUGCGAGCGUUAAUCGGAAUUACUGGGCGUAAAGCGCUCGUAGGCGGUAUGUCAAGUCAAGGGUGAAAUCCCCGCGCUCAACGUGGGAACUGCCUUUGAAACUGGCGAACUGGAGUGGGUGAGAGGAUAGUGGAAUUCCAGGUGUAGGAGUGAAAUGCGUAGAUAUCUGGAGGAACAUCAGUGGCGAAGGCGGCUAUCUGGCACAUAACUGACGCUGAGGAGCGAAAGCGUGGGUAGCAAACAGGAUUAGAUACCCCUGUAGUC